GGCUCACCAAGGCGAUGACAGGUAGCCGGCCUGAGAGGGCGACCGGCCACACUGGGACUGAGACACGGCCCAGACUCCUACGGGAGGCAGCAGUGGGGAAUAUUGCACAAUGGGCGAAAGCCUGAUGCAGCGACGCCGCGUGAGGGAUGACGGCCUUCGGGUUGUAAACCUCUUUCAGUAGGGAAGAAGCGAAAGUGACGGUACCUGCAGAAGAAGCGCCGGCUAACUAUGUGCCAGCAGCCGCGGUAAUACGUAGGGCGCAAGCGUUGUCCGGAAUUAUUGGGCGUAAAGAGCUCGUAGGUGGCUUGUCGCGUCUGCCGUGAAAACCCGAGGCUCAACCUCGGGCGUGCGGUGGGUACGGGCAGGCUAGAGUGUGGUAGGGGAGACUGGAACUCCUGGUGUAGCGGUGAAAUGCGCAGAUAUCAGGAAGAACACCGAUGGCGAAGGCAGGUCUCUGGGCCAUUACUGACACUGAGGGGCGAAAGCAUGGGUAGCGAACAGGAUUAGAUACCCUGGUAGUCCAUGCCGUAAACGUUGGGCACUAGAUGUGGGGAACAUUCCACGUUUUCCGCGUCGUAGCUAACUCAUUAAGUGCCCCGCCUGGGGAGUACGGUCGCAAGACUAAAACUCAAAGGAAUUGACGGGGGCCCGCACAAGCGGCGGAGCAUGCUGAUUAAUUCGAUGCAACGCGAAGAACCUUACCAAGGCUUGACAUGCACCGGACGACUCCAGAGAUGGAGUUUUCUUCGGACUGGUGCACAGGUGGUGCAUGGUUGUCGUCAGCUCGUGUCGUGAGAUGUUGGGUUAAGUCCCGCAACGAGCGCAACCCUUGUUCUAUGUUGCCAGCACGUCAUGGUGGGGACUCAUAGGAGACUGCCGGGGUCAACUCGGAGGAAGGUGGGGACGACGUCAAAUCAUCAUGCCCCUUAUGUCUUGGGCUUCAAGCAUGCUACAAUGGUCGGUACAAUGGGUUGCGAAACUGUGAGGUGGAGCGAAUCCCAAAAAGCCGGCCUCAGUUCGGAUUGGGGUCUGCAACUCGACCCCAUGAAGUCGGAGUCGCUAGUAAUCGCAGAUCAGCAACGCUGCGGUGAAUACGUUCCCGGGCCUUGUACACACCGCCCGUCAGGUCACGAAAGUCGGUAACACCCGAAGCC
Molecule: ribosomal RNA, 1154 nt
Filed under: uncultured Brachybacterium sp.
Lineage: Bacteria; Bacillati; Actinomycetota; Actinomycetes; Micrococcales; Dermabacteraceae
Description: bacterial SSU rRNA
Rfam family: Bacterial small subunit ribosomal RNA
Source: RNAcentral